UUUGAAGCGGGAAAAGGAGGAAGACAAAGAGGCGAUUCUAGUGCUUGGUUCUCAUUGAAACGCUUCUGUGGACUCUGCCUUCGAGGCGUCUGGUUACUCCGGGUAGGGUCGGCUUUCUGCCCUCGCACAGCUUGGGGUCUGUGGGUUUACCUCCGCGCCUCGGCUGCCGAAGGCCCCCACAAAGUGCAAGCCUGCGAAAGGAAAGUGUCCACCUUGAGAGGUUGCAGGCUCCCAGGCUGUCGCCGCUGCUCACCACCGGAUCCGAUUUGGGUGGGCUGCGUGGUCUCCCGACCUCUCGGAGCCUUGUACGGCCUGACAAUCUCGCUUUCAAAUUUGGCGGGAGCCGCGUACGCCGAGUGGAGGGCGCGCGCGGCGAGCGGCGCACGCGCAAAAUGGCCUCCUGGUUACCCGCGGCUGCGGAUCGCGCGCUGAGGAAAACAGAGCGCCCGCUGCGCAGUUCGGAAGCGGAUUGGAGUUGUAGCUCUUUGCACUCCUUGAAGAGCUACUAGUUAAAAAAUAAGGAAAGGGAGAAGAGCCGUUUUCUCCUUGACUGCUCUUUUGGUAAAGGCCGCCCUGACCGGGAAGGCAGCGCUGCAAGCGAAGCGAGGUCAUUUCUCCCAGGUGGGUGUCCUUUCCACAGAGCGCUAGAACCGAAGAAGCGUUUUUUUCCGCUUUUGGUGGAAAGCCAUGGCUCUUCCUCACUCUGGACACCCUCGUCCUCGGCUUCAGCUUCCGCAUCGCGCAUUGUGCUCCCGAUUUCCCCUUUGUUGGAAUAUCUUACACUUUCAGGGUCAUUUGUCCUAAGUCGGGCUUGACAGACUCCUCUAUCUCCAGUGACCUCUUAAUUUACCUCUGUAGCGUUCUCAUCCCUCCCAUCCCAACUUGGGAGGAGUACCCAAGUCCGCAGACUUCCACCUAAGUGUGCCCUCAACUUGGGUUCUAGAUAAUGUAGGAGGACAUAGAGUUGGAGAUCUCCGAACUGAUAUGGCCCUUGGAAUCACGUUCGCUGUGAAGUUUGGAUCCUAUGAUGACCCAACAGUCAGAGCAAGAAGGAGUAUUUCUACCGAAGUGUAAAUUAUUCUGAGGGAGCAACACUUGCUGUUUUUAUAAGUUACUUCUGAUAAUCUCUGGAAGGAUUUUUUUUUUUUAAGGCAAGGAUCAGAAGAAUGAGAGUAACUUAAUUAAUUGAAAGUUUUUAUUGAAUACUUACUAUUUAUUUAGAGGGCUAAAUGAGAUUUCAGAAUGAGUUUUACCCUUGAACUUCUUUAGGAAACUCACAAGGAUCCUAUAAGCAGACUUCCAGUGAUAAAUAACUUUUGAUGUCGUCGACCUGAUGAAGACAGUGUCGUUAGUUCUUCAUGUGAGACCUCCAGAAAUUGCACACUAAGAAAAAGAAACUAGUGCAAAUAAAGGAAAUCCGUUUCAAGAACCCAAAGAUGAAAAAAAAAAAAAAAAACGUUAAAAAAUUAACUGCGGAAACAGGAAACACUCGACUGUGUAAACAUUUUCUGAGACUUUCAUAAUCAAAACUGGGUGAUCUUGAAAUUUGUAGAAAGACUUGACCUGCUCAAGAUCUCCCCCAGGGCUAUUUCCCAAGUCUGAUUUAUUGGGAGGCUGGAAUACAUAAUACCUUGUGCCUUCAAAUAGGUUCUGUAGAAUCAACCUAUUUGAUUCUAUGGUCCCAGUUCAAUUCAAGCGUGUGUGUGUGUGCGUGUGUGUAGGAGCCAGACACUUUUUAGAGCAAGUUUAGAAAUAAUCACCUAUACUAGUGUUCAUUUUGAAUGUGAAGAAACACUCAAGAAAUGAUAUAGCUAAUCCAAGACCUUGGUAUUAGGGUUGGGUUCUAUGCUCUGUACCACUUUAAAUGUCUUAAAAGCAUAUACGAUUUUUGAAAAGGAUUUAAUUAGUAUACUGCACAGACCUAACAUGAUAAAAACUCUAGCCAUUUUUUAUGUAAACUGAUCAAGAGCUUUUUGUUUGUAAUAAAACUCAAGGAAGACUAUAUGGGGGAACAUCCAUAAGGUUCAAAAAUACAAUAGAGCCUCUGUUUCAUGUAAGUACUAAACUAAUUCAGAAUUUCCGACUGUCAUUUCUGGUGCAAUGGGAAGAAAAAGAUGAGAGGAAUGAAGACAUUUAACACUUCCUUCACCCCAGGAUUUGAAAAGAGACCAGGUUCCAGGUGCAGAUUGUUUCUAAAAUCUCAUCCCCUCCAAAGAUUAUCAUAAGCUAUUUUAAAAGAUCAAAUGUCUUCAUUUCCUAUUGGUCAAUGCAAGUAGCCUUUCACAUGGGUACUUAAGGUCUUACUAAACUUUCAUAACAAAACUUUUAUCUUGACAGGCCUACACAAAAAGGAUAUUGAAAGAUUUCAC
This 2369-nucleotide long non-coding RNA is filed under the name Marmota monax (woodchuck). The record is from RNAcentral. Lineage: Eukaryota; Metazoa; Chordata; Mammalia; Rodentia; Sciuridae.